RNAcentral lists this transfer RNA (72 nucleotides) under Marmota monax (woodchuck). Its description in RNAcentral is "tRNA.Ala". The record is from RNAcentral. Lineage: Eukaryota; Metazoa; Chordata; Mammalia; Rodentia; Sciuridae.
GGGGCUGUAGCUCAGUGGCAGAGCGCUACCCCUAGCACGUGUGGGGCACUGAGUUCAAUCCUCAGCACCACA